CCUUGAAAUACCACCCUUUAAUGUUUGAUGUUCUAACGUUGGCCCGUAAUCCGGGUUGCGGACAGUGUCUGGUGGGUAGUUUGACUGGGGCGGUCUCCUCCUAAAGAGUAACGGAGGAGCACGAAGGUUGGCUAAUCCUGGUCGGACAUCAGGAGGUUAGUGCAAUGGCAUAAGCCAGCUUGACUGCGAGCGUGACGGCGCGAGCAGGUGCGAAAGCAGGUCAUAGUGAUCCGGUGGUUCUGAAUGGAAGGGCCAUCGCUCAACGGAUAAAAGGUACUCCGGGGAUAACAGGCUGAUACCGCCCAAGAGUUCAUAUCGACGGCGGUGUUUGGCACCUCGAUGUCGGCUCAUCACAUCCUGGGGCUGAAGUAGGUCCCAAGGGUAUGGCUGUUCGCCAUUUAAAGUGGUACGCGAGCUGGGUUUAGAACGUCGUGAGACAGUUCGGUCCCUAUCUGCCGUGGGCGCUGGAGAACUGAGGGGGGCUGCUCCUAGUACGAGAGGACCGGAGUGGACGCAUCACUGGUGUUCGGGUUGUCAUGCCAAUGGCACUGCCCGGUAGCUAAAUGCGGAAGAGAUAAGUGCUGAAAGCAUCUAAGCACGAAACUUGC
This 608-nucleotide ribosomal RNA is filed under the name Escherichia coli. Its description in RNAcentral is "partial 23S ribosomal RNA". It matches the Rfam family "Bacterial large subunit ribosomal RNA", at positions 2190 to 2797 of the family's 2925-position model. Lineage: Bacteria; Pseudomonadati; Pseudomonadota; Gammaproteobacteria; Enterobacterales; Enterobacteriaceae. The record is from RNAcentral.